RNAcentral lists this transfer RNA (72 nucleotides) under Canis lupus familiaris (dog). It matches the Rfam family "tRNA". Rfam says of the family: Transfer RNA (tRNA) molecules are approximately 80 nucleotides in length. Their secondary structure includes four short double-helical elements and three loops (D, anti-codon, and T loops). Further hydrogen bonds mediate the characteristic L-shaped molecular structure. tRNAs have two regions of fundamental functional importance: the anti-codon, which is responsible for specific mRNA codon recognition, and the 3' end, to which the tRNAs corresponding amino acid is attached (by aminoacyl-tRNA synthetases). tRNAs cope with the degeneracy of the genetic code in two manners: having more than one tRNA (with a specific anti-codon) for a particular amino acid; and 'wobble' base-pairing, i.e. permitting non-standard base-pairing at the 3rd anti-codon position. The record is from Rfam by way of RNAcentral. Lineage: Eukaryota; Metazoa; Chordata; Mammalia; Carnivora; Canidae. RNAcentral also lists the same sequence under 1 other name.
GCCUGGCCGGCUCAGAAGGUAGAGCACAUGACUCUUGAUCUUGAGGUUGUGAGUUCGAGCCCACGUUGGGUC